Molecule: long non-coding RNA, 279 nt
Filed under: Brachypodium distachyon (stiff brome)
Lineage: Eukaryota; Viridiplantae; Streptophyta; Magnoliopsida; Poales; Poaceae
Description: long non-coding RNA (BDIS_LNC001571)
Source: RNAcentral
GCCUGGAAUUCGUCGCCAAUUCUGAUUUUCUUUUCACCUCUUCUGAUCUUGCUCGUCCUGUAGGAACAGAGUAAGCAAAUUAGUUCGUCAAAUUCCACUCCUCCUGCACGUAUGACCUCUCUUAAGCUGUCCAAGAAAAACAUUUAUUCAUUGGAUCGGUGGCUGGAUUGGAAUUAGGAAGCCGGGUAAUUUAAAACUGCCGACACCAUAGGUUUUUUUUUUUGAGAGGAUUUCUGCCGACACCAUAGGUGUGUUGCAAAUCUGGCACACAUCAAUAGC